CGGCGCCGGGACCGCGCCGAGGAGAGGGCGGCCCGGCAGCGGGUGAAGGAGAAGAUCGAGCGGGACAAGGCCGAGAGAGCACAGAGGUUCGCCCCCUCCCCCGCUGAGCCCCCCCCCCAGACCCCUCCCCCCGGGGCGGAGCCGCCGGCGCCGCGGGAAUACGACGAGUGCCGGAUCCAGGUACGGAACG
Corapipo altera (White-ruffed manakin) is the source of this 190-nucleotide long non-coding RNA. RefSeq lists it as uncharacterized. The record is from RefSeq and is a predicted model, not a curated record. The transcript has 3 exons. Lineage: Eukaryota; Metazoa; Chordata; Aves; Passeriformes; Pipridae.